GUUCAAUAGAUAUGAAGAAGCUGAAAGAGACUGCACACAGGCUAUCUUACUAGAUGGUUCAUAUUCAAAAGCUUUUGCCAGAAGAGGAACUGCAAGGACAUUUUUGGGAAAGAUCAAUGAGGCCAAGCAAGGUAAGACUAGAAAAUCUGACACAUUCACCUGAUGACCCCACAGAAUAGCUGACAUGCUCACCCUAUCAGACUCCUGAGGUGUAGAAGCAAAGAGUUUUGUAGUUUUCCACAGUGAUUUUUGCAAAGCACUUUGGGGAUGAAGGUGAGUCUGAAAACUGAACCUCGAAUAGUGUGCAAGAUUAUUUAUAACAUACUGUGGUUAAUCACCAAGUGAAAGGAAGGAAAGUUUGAAGAGGGGAAACAAGAACUAGUCAAGAAGAGAGGGUAUCAGCAGCUGGGCAUCGAGGUUAACGUGAGGGCUACAUUGAUUCCUUUCUUACUCUUUUGUUUUGGUUUGGUUUUUGGAACAGAGUUUCUUAUAUAGCCCUGGAAUUUAAUGUGUGGACCAGGCUGACCUUGAGCCUUCCUGAGUGCUGGGAUUAAAGGCAGCUCCAACACACACGCCUGGCCUUUCUCAUUCCCGAUGUGUGCGUUUGUUUGUUUUCCCUCCUGUCCUGUGCCCUGUGCCCUGUGCCCUGUGCUGCAGGUCCCUGUGCUGCAGUCUUCGUCAGUCUUCAGAGAACUGACCUGGUCUUACCCAUGUUUCCCUCAUUGCGUUUGUUCCCUGUUCCUUCGGUUUCACUUGCUGUUCUCUCUCUCUCUCUCUGUUUCCUUUGAAAUCUAUGCUGGGAAGAAAAAGAUGAGAGCCUAUUCUAGCUAGUUUUAUCUGAUUGGCAUAAGCCAGUCAUCUGGAGGAGGAAGCUCCAACUGAGAAACGCCCCUAACCACUUGUUCUGUAGGCAAGCCUGUGGGACAUUUUCCUGAUGGCUAAUUGCUAGGUGAGAAACUGGCCACUGUGAGCAGUGCCACCCCUGCUGGCCUGGAGGUCCUGGGUGCUCUGUGCAAGCCAAAUGCUGUGGGGAGCAAACCACUAAGCAGCACCCUGUGGCCCCUGCACCACUGCC
Molecule: long non-coding RNA, 1075 nt
Filed under: Rattus norvegicus (Norway rat)
Lineage: Eukaryota; Metazoa; Chordata; Mammalia; Rodentia; Muridae
Description: long non-coding RNA NONRATT027304
Source: RNAcentral